ACUUUCAGUCAGAAUCAACUGCGCUCUGAUACCAAAUGCUAGGAAUCCCUAACAGAUCUGGUAGUCCCAGUGAUAGUUACUAGAAUAACAGAAAGAGAGAGAAGAGAAAGUGAGGGAGAGAGAAUUUUAGGAGGGAAAAACAGUUAACUUUAUUGAUGAAUGAUUGCCCUGAAUAGGCCUUUCCAGCUGUUUAUAUACAAGUCAGCUAGCUAAAACAAUUGCUCCCGCCCAAACGCUUACUUAUUUCUAUACCUAGUUCUUCUACAUGUCACAUAUUGAUAUUAUGAGUAUGAAUGAAAUAUUGAUAUUAUAAUGAUGUUUAUUGAUUUAAGUGUCAAUUACUAGUUUUGGUGUCAAACAAUUAUUUUUUCUAACUACUGCUGUGUGCAUUUGGCCCCUUUCCCCUUUGACAAACAUGCCAUUAAUUAAGAUAAGAAAAUGACUAAAUAGAAAAAACUACAUGUGUCUUCAUAUAACUUUCUUUUCCUUUCAUUAAUUUUUAUUUUUAGCUUAAAUUGUCAACAGACGAACAGAUAAUGCAGGAUCGGAUGUAGACAAGAGAAGGCUUUAGAUUCCAAUACUCCCAAGCAAAUGAAUGAUGCCAAUGGAACUACAAAUUCAAGUCCAAGAGGGCAAGGCAUAGUGUGUAUAAGAAGGGUACAGGUACAACAAAUCAGAAAGAAAACAAAAAAAAUUAGUACAAUUCCAUAGGCUUUAUGGAAUUCUAAUAACAACGAGAUCAAUCACCAUUUCCCAGAUUAUAGAAACUUAACUUAGUGCAAAGAAUGGUUCAUCCUGGAAAAAUAAAAGCACUCAUUUCUUCUAGAUACUCUUAAUCAAGAAACCUUCCAACUCAAACACUAUACCAAGGAUACAUUAGGGUUUCAGAAACCCAACCAAAGAAUGUGCAGAGGAAAGAAGAAUAGAGAGAGUUUAGGUAGAAAAGAAAAAUGAGAAUUCGUUAGAAGAUAAUAGAAAGUAUUAUUCUUGAUAAUUCUGGAAUGAAUUACAAUAAAGGUCACUGAGUUUGUUAGCAGCAAUAAAGACAAUGUGCAGGUGACUGCAUACUGAAUCUCAAUACAAGUGAAAGAACUCAAAUUAAGACAAACACAGCAGUACAAUAAUGAAAAUAGAAUUGCAUGGAUAAGCCUAAACCAAGCAGAAGUGUUAGCAAACCAAGGGUUGGAACAUCCUCUAAGAACCUUCAACUUUUUUUAUUUAAUACGUAUUGAAAGUUUUAUCCCAUGAAACCAAACUAGAAAAAUAAUAAUAACUUUGAAGUUAAACCAAGUGUCAUAAAACAAGAAUUUCCUAACGGGAAAAAUAAAAAUAAAACAACUAAAAUUAGGUGCAAAACUUACAAUGAUUCGGCCUUCAAUUCUCAGAUCCUUCUACUCAAAAAGCCAUAUUUGAAUGCGGGCUUUCUAUGAGAACCACAUAAAAAAGAGAGAGAAGAAGAAGCAAGUAUUAAGCUUCCCAUUAAGGACAACCUAAUUUAAGCAAACCCAAAUGAGUAAAAGAAUAGAAUAAGCGAAGAACUGACUUACACUUUGAAGAAACCUGAAAAUCAGGUUCUGAUGCAGCAUAUCCCAGUAAGCACAAAGUAAAGCAACAAAUGAGAGGAGGAAGGAGACAAAAAAGCCACAAAUAAAAGUUGGGGGUUAAAGACAACAAGAAGCAUAAGUGUUAAACGUACAAUGGGUUGGGUUAUAAUCCUUUGGACCUUGGUACUAGCCAUGUUGAUGAGCUCUGGAGGAUUCCGGAGGCAAAGAGAAAGUUGAGUUGGAGAGAAGUGCAACCCUAGAACGAUUUGAGCCAAGAGGCAAAUUAGUCAUAUUUUUCUAACCAAAUAGAUUUUUUUUUAGCCAAACCAAAUAGAUAUUUUGUUUUGAGUAAUAUGCGGGGGGAUAAAUUACUCUAAGCUCUCUAUGGUUUGUUAAAAUUAGUUACACAAUACAUAUUUUAAAAAAAUAAUUAAAACAUUUAUUUUAAUUUUAACUACAGAAAUAACAUAAUAUAUAGCAAGCCUAGUCUGGUUUGAUCCAAUGGUAAAAAGAAAUAUUACUCACUUAGGAGACUCAGGCUCAAGUCUGAUACCCCCAAUCCCCUACUUAAAAAUAUAUAUAUAUAGAAAAAAUUACAGAUAUUAAAUAAUAAGAUUCUUAAAAUUACAACAGAUUAAAAGAUAUAAAUAUUAAAAACUAAAAAAAAAAUAUAAUUAAUAUGCCCUUAACAAAAUUAUUAAAGGAUUUGAUUUUAAAAGUAUCACUAUGUUUUAAUUGGGCUUUAAAAAGAUAACAACUAAUGAUUAAUUUUAGCACAAUAUAAAAAUGUGUCAAUAAUUUAUCCUGUGAACCAAAAAUGGCUAACAAAUUGAUAUGGACAAAUCACAGUUACAUUCUUUUUUUCCUUUUUUGAAUAAGUUAAGUUGUUGAAUAUUGGCUUAUUAAUAAUUUGAUUAUCUUAUUUUCUUUUUAAAAAAAAAAAUCAUAGCUUCUUUAUCACUUACAUAUAGAUCAUUUCAUUCCGUUCUUUUUUUUAAGGCUCCUUCUGUUUCCUAGGAAAUAUUUUUCAAGAAAAUGUUUUCUACAUUUGUUGGUAUUUGAGGCACUCAAAAAAAUUAGUCUCACAUAAAAUAUUUUUCUAGUUAAAAGAAAAAUUAACUUAUUUUACAGAAAAUGACUUCCUCUUUUGAGAAUCUUAUUAACACCUUUAUAUAUAAAAUUGUCAAUAUAUUUUAUUUUUUAAAUUAAUAAACAAUGAAAAAUAAGUCAUUUUAUUAGAAAUUUUUUCAAUGAAAACAUUUUCCACCGGAAAAUAUUUUUCAAAUGCAAGUUAUGUUCCACAAACAAACGGCGCCUUAAUUUUGCGAUUAGAAAACCCUAAAAAUAACAAAAGUGUUUUUACUUAAAAUUCCUAAAACCAUUUGAAUUCACAAAUAAAUGUUUGAUUAAUACAAGUGCCAGUAAAUACUUUGCAUACUGAAACCCAUAAAAUUCGGAUAGCUUCAUACAUUCGUCACUCUUUUUAAUUAUAAACAAAGAUUCACACAAACUUUAAGCACAAAACUGAACAGGAGCUGAGACAUAAAAGAACGAAAUAAAAGAAUAAAGUGAAGUUUUUGUAUUUGAUUGCCAAUCAUUUUUUGCAUGCUAUGGUAUCUAUUCAUGCAGUAAACCAAAGAGAUGUUACUGAGGAAAAGGACAGUUAGAAGGAAGAAUAAAUUUAAAAGUCACCUUCAUCAUGAAGGAAUGAAGACAUGAAGCUAAAGAAAAAUGUUUUAUAAAGCUCAUUUUUACAUUUAAGUCAUUACUUUUCAUCCAUUUUCUCAAAGCAUUUUUUUAUUUCUAUCUUUCUUCUUUUCAAAUCACACUCUAAGAAAACAGAUUUUUUGUGGGGAAAGUUUUCCACAUUAUAUCUUGAAUUACACCACUAUAAAAAUUUGUAGUGAAUAUAAAAUUAGUCACAACGUUGCCAUUAGAAGUGUGAAACAAAAGAUCACAGUGGUGAAAUUAUUUCACCACAAAAGCUAUAUUUUCUAUGGGGAAAUAUGAUCCAUUAAAAAUAUAGUUUAUUAGAGAAAAGUUUUCCCACUAAAAAUAAAACUUUUGCAGCGAAAAUCUUCCCCACUAAAAGAUAUGACUUUUGCAGCAAAACUUUUCUUCAUUAAAAGUUUGUCGAUUUGUGGGAAAUUUUUCCCCACUAAAGCAUAUCAUUAUAAUAAAAUAGUUACAAUUGAUUUAGUCAUAGGAGUUUGCUUACAUAUAAUUUAGUAGUUGCCUAUUUAUUAAUACUCAUUUUAUUAAAUCAAUUGAUUAAUAUGAGAAAUAAUAGAUCACCUUAAAAGUAUAUGGUUUCCAUUAUAAAAGAUAUGGAUAUUAAUGUACAAAGAUUUGGGACGACUCCAACCCCUGACUAUAAAAGAUCUCAAUAUGAGGGUUACAAUGAUUCAGUUGAGUUUUGAGUCAACAAUAGCACCUCUAUGGAUGCACUAGUUCUGAUGUGAUAACCAUCUGUCAGAAGUUGACAUUCAGAAUAGACAAAAGCAAGAAAAUUCUCUUAGAACAAUGAGUAAUAUUCUGGCCUCCACCUCUGUUUGUCUUGUCCAGAUGUUCAAACAGAAGCAUUUGUCAAUAUGAAAUACACCAACUUCCAUGCACAUAGUCCAAAAAAUAAAUGAUGCUUUAGGUUCAUUAGUUAGCUAUUGUGUUAAGCGUAAUUGCCCCAAAAAACAAGUGAGCAAAGACAGCUUUCUUAGAAUCUAUGUUUUGGAUUUUUACAAGGUUCCUUUUAACUUCAUCUAUAUUUUAUAGUCAUUUCUUAUUUGUUUUCUUUUGCAUCGAAUUGGAACCUGCAGGUUCAAGUUUUUGCUCUUUCUCAUUGGUAAUCAACUCAUUUUUCAUACUUUUCAUUGAAUUUGCUGUCUUUCAAGUAAAGAAUCCAUGUUAAUCUCAUCAGAAAUGGUAAAUAAAACAUGUCAAGCUCCAAUGGGAUUUUGGCAUUAUCAAUUUAACCAUCAAACUGAAAAAAGAAAAAUCAAAAGGAAUUUUCUUGAUCUAAGACUAUAUAGACACAUGGGUACCUAUUACCUAAACUAAUCUUGUGUUCCUAAACUGAUAAAUUUUGAAUUAAAAAAAAAUCAAAACCAUGGAAUAAUGUGUGUUUUAUAGAUCAUUGUAAUUCAAGGGUGGAUGUUAUUUUUUUGUAAUUGACAGUCAAAAGAAUAUAAUUAUAAUAAAUUGAACUCAAAUAAUUUCAUAAAUCAAUGAAGCAUGUCUGUCAGAUUUGUUUAAAAAUUGUACCACUUCAAAAAUUCAACAUAUCAAUAUAAAUAUAAAUAUAUUAAUUAGGAUAAUAAGAUAAAAUAGAAGUUGCAAUUGCUUACUUAUUGGAACCAGAAUAUUUAGACUUACUAUGAGGCUGGAGAUUAAAGUAGCAGAUGUGUCGAAAACAACUAAUCUGAGAGUUUCUUGAUCCCCCAAAUGCAGACACUAGCUAACAAUUAUAUUAUUAAAUCCACAUGAUUCCAUUGCUACAUGGAACUUUUGUUCCUGGUGCACACCAGGAACUGGUGUCAGUUCCUGGUAUGCACCAGGAAUUAGAAACUGAGACCAGUUCCUGAUGCACGAUCAGGGACUGAUAUCAUUCCCUGGUAUCCACCAAGAACUGAGAUUCAGUUCCUGGUCCAUACCAGUUUUCUAUACACAGAUUUGGUGAUACAAGUUUUUAGACAUACAUAUUGAAGGCAAAUUUACUUGGCACUUUGACAAUCAGCUCAUAGGAUUUUACUACUUAGGAGUAGAAAUAAAUGUGGGAAUUUUUCUUAAUGUUAUCCUCUAUCUACAGCUAGACAAAAAAUAAAUAAGAAAAUGAAAAAUAAAAAGUAUAAUGGGUGCCUUUACACUAUCUCAACUGUCAAUAAUCAUAUACCUAAUCAUUUGAUAGUCUUUAAAACUGUGUAUUCCUUCUGUAUAGAACUAUAUCAGCAGCUUGUAAGUGGGAUUUCUUCACUCUCUCCGUUAUCUUCGAUUCAUGAAUUUAGAAUGACAAUAAUUUCAGUUCCACCAGGAACUGCUCUAACAAUCCAUCACUUAGGGGACAUUGAGAAUUAUUCAAAAACAAUUGGGGGCUACGAGAAUCCAUCACCCCUAAGAUUAUUGAGCUAAAAUAAAAUAUCGAAAAUCAAACCCACAAUAUAUUGUGCCUCCAACCUUAUCGAGCAUUAUAGGUUCUUUUGAACUUUAUAGAAAAUCAAAACAAGACCUCCAACAGUGAAUUUCAUUAAUCUUCCAACAGUCAUUGGUUUGUUAACAUCAUCUAUGGACAAAUUCUCACAACAAAUAAAAGAAAAAUAGAAGUGAGAUAUCAAACCUGGUUGCAAUCGGGCGAAGGAAGAAGAAUGGGCGCCGCAGGUCCUCCAAGAUCAACUACUCGUCAAUCUGGUGUUUGGGGCGAUGGAGAUUGUGCUUUACCAACAAGCAAUAUAGAGAGUGGAGAGGAACUUGACUCGCACGAUAUGGUCCUCCAAACCUUCGUUUUCAGUUCAAGACCCGAGUAACUUCAAUUUAUUUAUUUAUUUUUC
This 6082-nucleotide long non-coding RNA is filed under the name Manihot esculenta (cassava). RNAcentral describes it as "long non-coding RNA (MESC_LNC004801)". The record is from RNAcentral. Lineage: Eukaryota; Viridiplantae; Streptophyta; Magnoliopsida; Malpighiales; Euphorbiaceae.